ACAACCUUCGAACCGUCGGUCUACCGAGCAAUAUCGCCCGCUCGGUGAAAGAUCUUGCCUGUAUCUC
Molecule: microRNA precursor, 67 nt
Filed under: Bombyx mori (domestic silkworm)
Lineage: Eukaryota; Metazoa; Arthropoda; Insecta; Lepidoptera; Bombycidae
Description: mir-2774 microRNA precursor family
Rfam family: mir-2774 microRNA precursor family
Source: Rfam by way of RNAcentral